Non-coding RNA from Dipodomys ordii (Ord's kangaroo rat), 73 nucleotides. The record is from Rfam. NCBI's taxonomy places the organism in Eukaryota, Metazoa, Chordata, Mammalia, Rodentia, Heteromyidae.
GGGGAUGUGGCUUAGUGGUAGAGUGCUUGCCUAGCAUGCAUGAAGCCCUGGGUUUGAUUCCUCAGUAGUACCA